AUGUGCCAUGGGACCGUGCUGUUGUGGAGGAAUUUGUUCGUUCUUGCACCAUUUGUCAAAAAGGGCAACCUGGUGCAUGUAGCUCCCGCUUGCGCAGGGUCCAGGGAAGGGUCCGACCACUUUGGGUCUAUAGUACGCAGCCUUUCCCUACAUUUCUGUAAGAGGCUGUUUCCAGGACUUGAACCCAUGACCUCAUGGUCACAAGGCAGCAGCUUUACCACUGCGCCAAGGCUCCCCUUCACCAUUUGUCAGCGCAACAAAAUUGAGCAGUUGCUGCCAGCUGGCCUUGUACAACCACCUCAGGCGCCAUCUCAAGUGUGGGUAGACAUUUCCAUGGACUUCAUCGAGGGCCUUCCCAAAUUCCGUGGCAAGACUGUGCUCUUGUCAGUGGUGGAUCGCUUCUUGAAGGCAGCACACUUCAUACUGCUUGCCCACCUAUACACUGCUGCAGCUGUAGCACAGGCCUUCUGCACAGAGAUUGUCCGUCUACAUGGCCUACAUGAGUCCGUCGUCUUCAAUGGGGAACCGGUCUUCACCAGCAACUUUUGGUCUGAACUAUUUCGCUUGACCAGUGUACACCUCUACAUGGGUUCAGCCUUUCACCCACAGUUGUAA
RNAcentral lists this ribosomal RNA (615 nucleotides) under Triticum aestivum (bread wheat). RNAcentral describes it as "partial small subunit ribosomal RNA". Lineage: Eukaryota; Viridiplantae; Streptophyta; Magnoliopsida; Poales; Poaceae. The record is from RNAcentral.